UGGCGGGCAGUCCGGGUGGUUCGGCGUCACCUAUUACCCGAAAUCGUCGAUAAGCGGGGGGCGAAGCUGACGGAAGACUUCGAGAUCUGCAUGCUCAGUCCUGUUGCGGACAAUGAUUCUCCGUCCUGUAGGGAUAGCAUCGGUCCAUGGGCCAUCCUGAAGGAAGGCUUGUGUCCCAUAAUUGCAGGAACCGGUUCAGGCCCGGAAGGGAGCAAACCCACUGCGGGUAACUGUCGCUUACAGGUAUAAGGGGAGGAGGACGCUUCGGGAUUAACUGGCAGGCAGGCUUGCUGGCAACCGUCGGCGGGCUCGCCA
RNAcentral lists this signal recognition particle RNA (315 nucleotides) under Methanothrix sp. RNAcentral's name for it is "signal recognition particle sRNA". It matches the Rfam family "Archaeal signal recognition particle RNA". The record is from RNAcentral. Lineage: Archaea; Methanobacteriati; Methanobacteriota; Methanomicrobia; Methanotrichales; Methanotrichaceae.